Oncorhynchus tshawytscha (Chinook salmon) is the source of this 1116-nucleotide long non-coding RNA. The record is from Ensembl. Lineage: Eukaryota; Metazoa; Chordata; Actinopteri; Salmoniformes; Salmonidae.
UUUGUUAUUAAGAAUCAUAUUAUCUUAUGAUGGUUUUUGAGAAUGAGUGCAUAUAAUCUUACCGCAUUCUGCAACAGUGGUUUUGAUUGUUGUCACCAAAGUAGUGUCUCUGAAAGUUAGUCCCUGUGAGGGAGUUGAGGGAGUGGAUACUGCUACAAAUGUUGAGGUUCUUGUUAUUACUGUAGUAGUACCACUUGUUAAUGGCAUUAUUGGUCUUAGAGUAGUGACAUCACUUGUGACUGUCGAUGUAGCAGUGGGAGUUGUGGCAUCACUUGAAGUGACUGUAGACGUAGUUGAAGUAGUGGUGGCAUCGCUUGAAGUGACUGUGGAUGUAGUUGAGGGAGUGGUGGCAUCACUUGAAGUGACUGUAGACGUAGUUGAAGUAGUGGUGGCAUCACUUGAAGUGACUGUGGAUGUAGGUGAAGUAGUGGUGGCAUCACUUGAAGUGACUGUGGAUGUAGUUGAAGGAGUGGUGGCAUCACUUGAAGUGACUGUUGAUGUAGUUGAAGGAGUGGUGGCAUCACUUGAAGUGGAUGUUGAUGUAGUUGAGGGAGUGGUGGCAUCACUUGAAGUGACUGUAGAUGUAGUUGAAGGAGUGGUGGCAUCACUUGAAGUGGAUGUUGAUGUAGUUGAGGGAGUGGUAUCUUCAUUUGAAUUGGGUGGUGGUGGCAUCACUUGAAGUGACUGUUGAUGUAGUUGAGGGAGUGGUGGCAUCACUUGAAGUGACUGUUGAUGUAGUUGAGGGAGUGGUGGAAUCACUUGAAGUGACUGUUGAUGUAGUUGAGGGAGUGGUGGCAUCACUUGAAGUGACUAUUAAUAUAGUUGAGGGAGUGGUGGAAUCACUUGAAGUGACUGUGGAUGUAGUUGAGUGAGUGGUGGAAUCACUUGAAGAGGGUGUUGGUGUAGUUGAGGGAGUGGUGGAAUCACUUGAAGUGACUGUUGAUGUAGUUGAGUGAGUGGUGGAAUCACUUGAAGAGGGUGUUGGUGUAGUUGAGGGAGUGAUGGCAUCACUUGAUGUGACUGCUGAUGUAGUAUCACUUGGAGUGACAAUUGAUGUAGUUGAGGCAGUGGUGCCAUCACUUGAAGUGGGUGUUGAGGGAGUAGUGGCAUCACUUG